Molecule: ribosomal RNA, 200 nt
Filed under: uncultured organism
Description: partial small subunit ribosomal RNA
Rfam family: Bacterial small subunit ribosomal RNA
Source: RNAcentral
GUCAAGUCAUCAUGGCCCUUAUGGGCAGGGCUACACACGUGCUACAAUGGCCGGUACAAAGGGCUGCCAACCCGCGAGGGGGAGCUAAUCCCAAAAAGCCGGUCGUAGUUCGGAUUGCAGGCUGCAACUCGCCUGCAUGAAGCCGGAGUUGCUAGUAACCGUGGGUCAGCCACACUACGGUGAAUACGUUCCCGGGCCUU